Molecule: ribosomal RNA, 2374 nt
Filed under: Euscyrtus japonicus
Lineage: Eukaryota; Metazoa; Arthropoda; Insecta; Orthoptera; Gryllidae
Description: eukaryotic LSU rRNA
Rfam family: Eukaryotic large subunit ribosomal RNA
Source: RNAcentral
GAGCGAACAGGGAAGAGCCCAGCACCGAAUCCCGCGGUCAACGCCGUAGGGACAUGUGGUGUACGGGAGCGGCCGUUACCGGCGCAGACGCGCGUUCCAAGUCCUCUUGAAUGUGGCCACGGCCCGUAGAGGGUGCCAGGCCCGUACGAGCGCGUCACGUCUGCGUCGGGGGCUCGUCUCCUUCGAGUCGGGUUGCUUGAGACCGCAACCUAAAGCAGGUGGUAAAUUCCAUCURAGGSUAAAUACGACCACGAGACCGAUAGCGAACAAGUACCGUGAGGGAAAGUUGAAAAGAACUUUGARGAGAGAGUUCAAGAGUACGUGAAACCACUCGGGGGCAAACGCAUGGUGCUUGAGCGAACUCGACAGGGGAAACUCAUCACCUCUCCGUCGUCCGCCCGGUCGGGCUCCGCUGCCGCGUCUCGGACGGGACUCCGGUCCCGGCCGAGCUCCGCGGGGUAACGGCGGAUGUUUCCGGCCGUCGAGCGAGGAAGUUUCUCUCCCUCGUUCGGGGUCGGCGUCGGUCGAGGUGCGCACUUUUCCUUCGUCAUAGUUGGUCGCGUUCCGUUGGACGGCGGUCUAAGGCCCGGACGGUGGAUCCUUCCGGGCGUGCUCUCUCUCGGGGCACGCGCCGAGGAGGUGCCUCCGGUGUGUCGGGCGCGGCAGCUUUAAAACGCGCCGCGCAUCGGCUUUCCCGACCGACCGUGUAAGUCGCUCUCCGUGAGGGAGAGCGCAGUAACGACGGUCUAAACUCGAAUCGGAAGAUCGUCCUCCCACCGCGGAGGUCCCUGUUGUCUGCGAGAACAGUUCGCGGCGGCGUUUGCACGUCGGCCCGUCUCGUCUGCGAUGCGUUCGCGGAGGCACCGGCGCACGCUUUCGUCGACCGCGGCGGUUCUACGUUCAGCUGUCGGGGAUGGCGAUGAGCGAAAGCUCUCAGCUCAAGAUCUUAACGGCGGCUUAAGUCUCGGGACACCAUGCGACCCGUCUUGAAACACGGACCAAGGAGUCUAACAUGUGCGCAAGUCAAAGGGACAGAACGAAUCCCAAUGGCGCAAUGAAAGUGAAGCACGGCGGGGCCUCGCCGACACCACGUCGGAGUGGGGCCCCGAACCGAAGGGAAGAUGGCUCGGGGGGGUCGGCGUUCCGCGCCGGCCCGGAGAGAAAGUCUAGCACACAUCACUCCGGCCCGCAUUCCCGGGGCGUCGUCUUGUCGACGCACCUAGAGCGCACACGUUGGGACCCGAAAGAUGGUGAACUAUGCCUGGCCAGGACGAAGCCAGGGGAAACCCUGGUGGAGGUCCGUAGCGAUUCUGACGUGCAAAUCGAUCGUCUGAGCUGGGUAUAGGGGCGAAAGACCAAUCGAACCAUCUAGUAGCUGGUUCCCUCCGAAGUUUCCCUCAGGAUAGCUGGCGCUCGUAGAGCAGAAAUAAAAUGCUGUAACUGAAUCUCAUACGGUAAAGCGAAUGAUUAGAGGCCUUAGGGCCGAAACGACCUUAACCUAUUCUCAAACUUUAAAUGGGUGAGAGCGGCGGCGUACUCAAAUAACCUGGGGGGCUCUACACAGAGUCCCCUAUUGUUGACGCCGCCGAGAGGAUCAUGAGCGCCCAGUGGGCCAUUUUUGGUAAGCAGAACCGGCGCUGUGGGAUGAACCAAACGCAGAGUUACGGCGCCUAAAUCGAUGCCCAUGGGAUACCAUGAAGGGCGUUGUUUGCUUAAGACAGCAGGGCGGUGGACAUGGAAGUAGUAAUCCGCUAAGGAGUGUGUAACAACUCACCUGCCGAAGCAACUAGCCCUGAAAAUGGAUGGCGCUGAAGCAUCGUGCCUAUACUCUGCCGUCGCGGCAAGCGAAGGAACGUAGGUUUGUGCGGUGGUGCGUCUUUGGCGUGCGCCCUCAACCGCCAAUGUUCCUGUUAGGCCGCGGCGAGUAGGAGGGGUUCGACGGUGAGCGCAGAAGGGUUGGGCGUGAGCCUGCCUGGAGCCGCCGUCGGAGCAGAUCUUGGUAGUAGUAGCAAUUACUCUAGCGAGACCCUUGAGGACUGAUGCGGAGAAGGGUUUCGUGUGAACAGCAGUUGCACACGAGUCAGUCGAUCCUAAGCCCUAGGAGAAAUCUGAAGUCGAUGCGGGCCGCCGUACAGAGAGUAUUGGAUCUUUGUCGGCCCCGCGGGCGAAAGGGAAUCCGGUUCCUAUUCCGGAACCCGGUCGCGGAACCGUCUCACGUCGGGCCCCCGGCUCAGGCCGGAAGCUCGUCGGGGUAACCCAAACAGACCCGGAGAAGCCGUCGGGAGGUCGGGGAAGAGUUUUCUUUUCUGUUUGAGCGCUCGGGUUCCCUGGAAUUGUCUAGCACAGAGAGAGGGAAUGGAGCGCGUAGAGCACC